Leucoraja erinaceus (little skate) is the source of this 903-nucleotide long non-coding RNA. RefSeq lists it as uncharacterized. The transcript is spliced from 2 exons. Lineage: Eukaryota; Metazoa; Chordata; Chondrichthyes; Rajiformes; Rajidae. The record is from RefSeq and is a predicted model, not a curated record.
GUGUGUGUAGAAGGCUCAGGUGCCAGUGUUUGGAGGUCACUAUGGUUUGAGGCACCAUGUCCUUUGGUGAACCCUUGAGGAAAUGUGCACUGGGCUUUGAGCAAGUGUUGAGUGUCCUGUGGGAAGUGUCCAAUUUUGGCAUCGAGAAAUGCUGGCGUAACUCAGGGAUACAGGCAGCAUCAGACUGAAGAAGGGUCUUGACCUAAAACGUCACCCAUUCCUUCUCUCUAGAGAUGCUGCCUGUCCCGCUGAGUUACUCCAGCAUUUUGUGUUCACCUUCGAUUUAAACCAGCAUCUGCAGUUGGAGAACUAUUGUGGAAUGUUAGUAGAGAAAGAGGAUGAACACAGGAGAGGUUCAGUGUGUUACAGGGGUCAGACACAUGCUAAAAGGCAGUGGGAGCAGUAGACAAAUCCAAGAGCCAGGUCUUGAGGUGCAAUCUGCACAAACUUCAAUAAUUUCCUGACAUGUUUCCUUCCUUUGUUGCAAGGCAGGUGGAAGUUGGCCAAUCGAUGCACAACUGGAUGAGAACACCCGGAGCAACAGCGAUACCUCAUUAGGUUGCCACCUUUUUGUGAUAGCGGAUCGGAACUCUUCACACAUAUGUAAAUGUGUUCCAGUGAAGCCUACAGAUUUACAGAAUCUGCUGCUUUGUGCCUUCUGAACAUUAUUUUGAUGGCUAUAUUAAUCUGUUGCUAGUUUCAUUGAUUUGAUUUUAAUUUCCAUGUUAUCCUUGUCUCUUUAUAGAUUAAUUAUCUUUCAAUAUUAUCAUCUGUGCCCCUUGAUAUGUUUGCUCAUGCAACACAUAGCUACAUUAUCCAAGAUUUAUCUAACCUUUCUAUUCCUGCAAAAGUAAUUUGAUGUCUCAUUUUUAUAUUAAAGUUUACAUGUCUAUUAUGCAAAUC